GCGAGACUAACCACCAAUUAAGACAGCUUUAUCUUAUCUAUGCUUUUAUAAUAACAGUGGAAAACCCUUGUACUUAUACCGGCAUUGCCCUAUUCAAUUCAGGCAUUGCCUGCCCGGCCCCUGCCCAACAGCAACACUGAAAGAAGGAGAAUAACGAGAUAAAGUGGAGAAGAUGUUGUAUCAUAUAAUGAUUAUAAUAUUACUGAGUAUCUGUUGUAUUGAUGGUAGUGAAGGAUCUAUUGAUAUUAAUAAAAGAUUGAGAGGAGUACCAAUGACUGAUACUAGUGAAGGGAACAAGUUCUGUUUCUCUUUCCUUGAUAGUGUAGGAUCUGGAAGUGGAGAUAGGAGUGCUACGAAAAACCCUUGGAAUAUACAUUGGUACCC
Long non-coding RNA from Amphimedon queenslandica, 384 nucleotides. RefSeq lists it as uncharacterized. The transcript has 3 exons. Lineage: Eukaryota; Metazoa; Porifera; Demospongiae; Haplosclerida; Niphatidae. The record is from RefSeq and is a predicted model, not a curated record.